RNAcentral lists this ribosomal RNA (794 nucleotides) under uncultured Nitrospira sp. RNAcentral's name for it is "bacterial SSU rRNA". It matches the Rfam family "Bacterial small subunit ribosomal RNA", at positions 8 to 796 of the family's 1533-position model. The record is from RNAcentral. Lineage: Bacteria; Pseudomonadati; Nitrospirota; Nitrospiria; Nitrospirales; Nitrospiraceae.
AGAGUUUGAUCAUGGCUCAGAACGAACGCUGGCGGCGCGCUUAACACAUGCAAGUCGAACGAGAAGGCGGGGCAACCCGCUUGUACAGUGGCGAACGGGUGAAGAAUACAUGGGUGACCUACCCUCGAGUGGGGAAUAACCAGCCGAAAGGUUGGCUAAUGCCGCGUACGCUUCUAUCCUCGCGGGGAUGGAAGGAAAGCUGUACCGUGGGUACGGCGCUCAAGGAUGGGCUCAUGUCCUAUCAGCUUGUUGGUAGGGUAACGGCCUACCAAGGCAACGACGGGUAGCUGGUCUGAGAGGACGAUCAGCCACACUGGCACUGCGACACGGGCCAGACUCCUACGGGAGGCAGCAGUGAGGAAUAUUGCGCAAUGGGCGACAGCCUGACGCAGCGACGCCGCGUGGGGGAUGAAGGUCUUCGGAUUGUAAACCCCUUUCGGGAGGGAAGAUGGAACAGGCAACUGUUCGGACGGUACCUCCAGAAGCAGCCACGGCUAACUUCGUGCCAGCAGCCGCGGUAAUACGAAGGUGGCAAGCGUUGUUCGGAUUUACUGGGCGUAAAGGGAGCGUAGGCGGUUUGGUAAGCCCUUUGGGAAAUCUUCCGGCUUAACCGGGAAAGGUCAGAGGGGACUGCCUGACUAGAGGACGGGAGAGGAGCGCGGAAUUCCCGGUGUAGCGGUGGAAUGCGUAGAGAUCCGGAAGAACACCAGAGGCGAAGGCGGCUCGCUGGGCUUGGUCUGACGCUGAGGCGCGAAAGCGUGGGGAGCGAACAGGAUUAGAUACCCCCGUAGUCC